Molecule: ribosomal RNA, 447 nt
Filed under: uncultured bacterium
Lineage: Bacteria
Description: partial 16S ribosomal RNA
Rfam family: Bacterial small subunit ribosomal RNA
Source: RNAcentral
AACGAACGCUGGCGGCAGGCCUAAAACAUGCAAGUCGAACGCCCCGCAAGGGGAGUGGCGCACGGGUGAGUAACGCGUGGGAACGUGCCCCUUAGUACGGGACAACGUCGGGAAACUGACGCUAAUACCGUAUAAUAUCUCCGGAUCAAAGAUUUAUCGCUGAGGGAGCGGCCCGCGUCUGAUUAGCUAGUUGGUGAGGUAAAGGCUCACCAAGGCUACGAUCAGUAGCAGGUCUGAGAGGAUGAUCUGCCACACUGGGACUGAGACACGGCCCAGACUCCUACGGGAGGCAGCAGUUAGGAAUAUUGGACAAUGGGGGAAACCCUGAUCCAGCCAUGCCGCGUGUGUGAUGAAGGCCCUAGGGUUGUAAAGCACUUUCGUUGGGGAUGAUAAUGACCGUACCCAAAGAAGAAGCCACGGCUAAAUUCGUGCCAGCCGCCGCAGUAA